UUUCCUGUCCUCCAACCAGACC
RNAcentral lists this microRNA (22 nucleotides) under Homo sapiens (human). Its description in RNAcentral is "hsa-miR-7152-5p". Lineage: Eukaryota; Metazoa; Chordata; Mammalia; Primates; Hominidae. The record is from miRBase by way of RNAcentral.